CACAAGUGAAAAAGUUAGAGAAACCCUACCCUUACCUACCUACCCCACUUUCAGUUUCACGCCUCCAUCUCCCUCACGCCUCACGCCUCCAUCACUCUCCUCACACAAAGCCUCCAUCACUCCCUCUCUCACACACACCAGCCUCCAUCAGUCGACAUCUGCCACCGGCCUCCACACUCCGGCUUCCACACGGCGGCCUCCACGGCUGCUCCACACGCCGGGCUCCACAGCUACUCCACAUACCCCACCGCGGCACAGCCCACACGUAUUCACUGUCACGCCUCACAGCCUCCACUCCACACGAAUCUGCCUCCACAUGCCGGCCUUCACACGUCGUCCUCCCCACGCAGCUUGAUCUUUUCAUUCUCACGUAUGGCUUGCUACAUGUGCUCGGUGCAGCAUUAAGGAUGGUCAAGAUAUUAUUGGGGAGAUGGCAGCGAUUCUCUGCUCAGCCAAAAUGCUGGCACGUCUCCUACUUCUUCUUGCUGGUGCAGGAAGUAGGAGAAGUGCACUGGCAGCCAUAGCUUCAUUACUGGCCUCGACCUCCUCAGUGACAGCUUUAGGCUGCUCAACCUCCUCCUCAAUGACAGCUUCAGGCUCGGCCACCUCAGAAUCAGCUUCCUUUCGUAUGAUAUUAUUGGGGAGAUGUUGGUUAAUGCUGAGGCAAGAAUUCUGAAUUUGGACUGGUGCAAUCCAUGCAAGUUUUUGGAGGCCUAUGAUUGCAAAGGGGAACAGUGUGAGUUUUGUAAGUAUGUUGCUACUGAAGCUGGUUUGGCAGAGCUUGAAUUGAUUGUUAAUUUGAAGACUAGGGAAUUUUUUGUUAGUAAUUUUAGACGAGCCGGGGAAAAAAAGGCAGCAAGGGUUGCUGCUUGGUAUGAGGAA
Long non-coding RNA from Quercus robur (English oak), 882 nucleotides. RefSeq lists it as uncharacterized. The transcript has 2 exons. The record is from RefSeq and is a predicted model, not a curated record. NCBI's taxonomy places the organism in Eukaryota, Viridiplantae, Streptophyta, Magnoliopsida, Fagales, Fagaceae.